RNAcentral lists this ribosomal RNA (427 nucleotides) under Pholcus kawit. Its description in RNAcentral is "partial 16S ribosomal RNA". It matches the Rfam family "Archaeal large subunit ribosomal RNA", at positions 1923 to 2664 of the family's 2987-position model. The record is from RNAcentral. Lineage: Eukaryota; Metazoa; Arthropoda; Arachnida; Araneae; Pholcidae.
UUCUUUAAGCCCUAAUUUAAAGUAAGACCUGCUCAAUGAUAACAUAAAUAGCCGCAGUUUUACUGUGCUAAGGUAGCAUAAUAAUUUGCUCUUUAAUUAAGAGAUAGAAUGAAAGGUCACACAUUAAAAAUCUGUUUCUAUAAAAUUCAAUAAAAUUAAGAAAAAAGUUAAAACUCUUUUAAAUAAAAGCGGGACGACAAGACCCUGAUAAACUCAUCAUUUAGUUGGGGAAACAAAUAAACAAAAUUUUAAUCAAUAUAAAAAUCAAAACUUUAAUAUAAAAUUAAGACUAGUUACUACAGGGAUAACAGCGUUAUUUCUUUCAAGAGCCCUAAUCUAAAAAGAAGAUUACGACCUCGAUGUUGAAUUAAUUAACCUAUACACAGUGCAACAACUUUAUAAGGUAGUCUGUUCGACUAUUAAAAAA